AUAGUUAAAUAAGACACAAAAUGACACCAGAGCUGUAGUGGUUUGCAAUCUUUUUCUUUUUUAAUUACCUUUUUCAUAAUUAAGUGAGACUCUUUGACAUAUGAUUCUUAUGUAGGGUGUAGCGUGAUAGUAGCCCAUUCUAAACAUAUUUCCACUAAAACUUCUAAUCAGCUGGCACCAUCCUGCAUUCUUAUUGCAAUUGCUAUAACAUAUGAUCAUGAUUUUGAAAUUGUGAAUCCUAGAAAUAAAAGGGAUUGAACAGUGACUUAACUACUCAUGUCUACUCCUUCUUCGGGGUCAGAAAGUGUUACCGGAUCUCGAAAGUCUAUUGGCAAGCUCUAUAACCUCCAAACAUUGAAAUUACCGGAUCUUGAAAAGUGUCCAAAGGAGAUUCAAAAUUUGAUCAACUUGAGGCAUUUUCAUUUCGGUGAGGGGAUGAAAUUUGAGGCUGAGAUUUUGGGGCGAUUAACUAGUCUCCGAACACUGCCUUCCUUUAAUGUGGGUAAGGAGUGAGGUCCUGCAAUUAAGUAGUUGGGUGGGUUGAACCAAUUGAGAGGCCACUUAAUUAUUGAUGGGCUAGAACAUGUAAGGGAUGGAGAAGAAGCAAAGAAAGCUCGCUUAGUGCAGAAGAAUCACUUACGUGAGCUAACAUUAAAGUGGACAGACGAUGGCUUGGCGGAUGUACUUGAUGAUAUGGUUCAUUAGGUAGUCAUAGUUCAUUUCUACCUAAUGAAAAUCAGACGGAUGUACUAGAUGGCUUGGAACCUCAUGGUAACUUGCAAAGCUUGAAGAUUGAAAAUUUUAUGGGUGAGAGAUUUCCGUCAUGGAUAACGAGUCUCCAAAAUUUGAAGCAGAUUUGAUUACUCAGUUGUUGCAGUCGUGAAGGAGUCCCAACACUCGGGCAUCUACCUAAUCUAAGAUCUCUUGAGAUUAAGAGGAUGAAAAAGCUGAUGAAAUGUGUGGGAGCUGAGUUUUAUGGUACUAGUACAACUUUGUUUCCAGCACUGAAAACAUUAUACAUCCUUGGGUGCCAAGAGCUCAUUGAAUGGAUGGAAGCACCGAGGAUAUCAGGAGAAGUAGUGGUAUUUCCUUGCCUCGAAGAGUUGGAACUCAGGUACUGUCCCAAAUUGAGAAAUGCUCCAAGUCGUUUUCCACGUCUCAAGAGGUCGUGGAUAGACGAAAUGGACAACAACAUCUCAAUAGAAAAUAUAAGCACUCAGCUUACCAGUCUCACCAAUCUCUAUAUAGAUCAUGUAAAGGGACUAACUUGUCUACCAGAAGGGAUGCUGAACAAUAACAAGAGUCUCACAUAUUUGCAGAUAGUUAAUUGUGAUGGGUUGACUUGUAUUGCUCUCGAUGUAUCUGACACGCUCCCUUGUCUUGAGAAGUUGAAAAUAACUCGUUGUCACAGCGUAGAGUCAAUUAGGAUCGCACAGGGCAUUGCAUCACUCCGUGAAUUACAACAUCUGGAGGUGUACGGGAUUAUCAAGCCUAGAGGUUGGGCUCGAUUACUGCACCUCUCUUCAGGCGUUGCAUAUAUAUUAUUGCCCUAAUCUGAAGAUAGUUCCAAUCACACAGGGCACGCCGUCUCUCCGGAUAUUGAGGAUUCAAGGAUGUGAGGGAUUAUCAAGCCUAGGAAGUGGGAUCAACUACUACACCUCUCUUCAGGAAUUGCAGCUACGCUAUUGUCAUAAUCUAACAUCAAUUCCAAUCACACAGGGCAUCACAUCUCUCCAGAGGUUGAGGAUUAUUCGUUGUCAGAGAUUAUUAAGCCUACCCGGUGGGAUCCAAUUCUGCACCUCUCUUCGGCAUCUGCAUAUAACUGGUUGCUCUAGUCUAGUAUCCAUGUCAGUAUCAUAUGUGUGUGACCACCCAGAGACUCAACGAAUCAACCGAAGGAAGUCUCUAUAGGUGUUGUUGAGUAUUUGUCUACACAGGAGGAGGAUUGGCGUAGUCUCGAAUCUAUUCCACCUAAUCUCCGUCAGUUGUUGAUGACAUCAUUGUGGGAAAUUCAAAUAUAUGCCCACAGGAUUUCACUGCCACACUCAUUUGAAGAUGCUGCAAAUUGGUUGGUUCUGGGAGCAGCUGGAUGCCUUGCCUGAUUUUCAGCUUCCACCACCACCACAUGAUUUACAACUUGAACGCUUAGAGUUGGUGGGGUGGCCUAAGCUAAAGUCUCUGCCCCAGCAAAUUCAGCACUCUACUUUUUUAAAAACUCUCUGGAUAGGAAAGUUUAUAGGACUAGAGGCUCUUCCUGAAUGGUAGGGAAAUCUUACAUCUCUUGAGACUACAUAUCUGGCUUUGAGAGAAUCUCAAGUAUCUACCUACACUGAAUGCUAUGAAAAGCCUCACCAAAUUAGAGAAGCUCUACAUUGAGGGAUGUCCCCUGCUCAAGGAAAGAUGCACCAAGGAGACUGGCCCAAGAUUUCUCACAUCCCAGAACAUGACUUGUGGUGAAGCUACGUAAUGGCCUGCCAUACUAAACUAGAAUGCCUGGUCACAUUUCAAGAGGAAAAUGUAUUAUCAAUUGAUUUCAUUCAAGUUACGAGGUUAAUCAAUUCCCAAUUGCCAGAGAUUUAUCCCUAAAGCGGGGUUCUAUCAUACUUAAUGGGAAGAUCAGAUGAAGCUGAGUGGUUGAAGAUCCAGUCACAGUAGUUCAAUCACCUCUCCCAUGUGUUUUUUUUUAGGGUUUUCUCUUAGCAAGUCACUUCUCUCUAAUGGAGUUGUCCAGUCCACUCUUGCCUCCCUAAAUAAUUUUUUCCAUAAGAACCAGCUAUGAGAAUGAGAAGUAUCAACCUAAAUUGGCAGCUAUGCAAACAAACAUGCACUGAGGACAACCAACAACAGUGGCUGACUUCUUAUUUUCCAAAGGCCUCUCUAUCCUACUCAAAUGGAAGAACAGCUUAACUAGACCUGGUGCAAACUAAGUUCAGAUUGUCCCAAAGAUCAAGAAAUUGGAGCACCGAAAGCGAUCUCAGGUGGCUGCUGUUUUGUUUGGCUCUUGCAAAGGCUUGUAACUUUGCCCUAUAUUGAGAACAAACUCCAUCUGCAUCUUGGAUAAGCCAUUUAGUCAAGCAUGCAUGGUUUCUAGAACACUGCAAGUGAAUGGUCAGAAAAACAAAAAAAGUGGGAUCUCGGAAUUGCCUGGAGCAUAGGAUAGCAAAAUGUCAGUUUUGAAGUUGAGUAUUGAAAAUUUGAAAUCGCCAUGUUUUUCAUAUUACUCGGUAUUCAUAAAAGUUAAUAGACAAGGCUAACUGGAUCCAACUCUCUGGAUUAAUUGGCAGAAAUAUUGCUUGACAAAACUAAUCAAGGGAUGGAAGAUACAUGCAGUGGUUAUUUUGAUAGUGUAUCAGUAUUAGAAUACUCCUUUCUGCAGAAGUGUCUAAACGUGAGAGCUUGAGGCGGCAUACAACUGAGCUUCAACAUGUUUCAGGGAUUCCUACUUCAACACUUGAAAUCAAGCGAGAAACAAGUGUUGGGAGAUUUUGCUCAUUAUUGUCGAAUGACAAUGUCCCAGAAGAUAGCAUUUUCAAGGUUUGCGUGGCUUACAGUUAUAUGGGGCUGAUAUUGAUGAGUUGUUGAUUUCUAUUGGCUAGUUGAUUGAUCGAAUUUUCAAGACAAAAAUCACAGCUCUCCGCAAGUCUUUUGGCAAGCUCUGUAACCCGUAGUUAUUGAGAAUGUACGCACAGUACUGAAAAUCUAAAGAAGUUCCCAGGGGAAGGGCAAAGCUUAAUCAGCUUGAGACAUCUUCAGUUUUGAUGAUGAUAUUUAGUGGAAGUUCCAGCUGCAGUAUUGGUGCAAAUGACCCAACUCUAGAAUUGACUUAUUUGGCUUGCGUGUACCGAUCGAAAGGAGAUGCAUAAUCUGGUACAUACAUGUAAUGGGGUCACUGUUUGACCACACCAAGUAUAUGACACCUCAAUCAAAGCA
This is a long non-coding RNA of Rosa rugosa (rugosa rose), 3930 nucleotides long. RefSeq lists it as uncharacterized. Lineage: Eukaryota; Viridiplantae; Streptophyta; Magnoliopsida; Rosales; Rosaceae. The transcript has 6 exons. The record is from RefSeq and is a predicted model, not a curated record.